RNAcentral lists this ribosomal RNA (497 nucleotides) under uncultured bacterium. RNAcentral describes it as "partial 16S ribosomal RNA". It matches the Rfam family "Bacterial small subunit ribosomal RNA", at positions 28 to 507 of the family's 1533-position model. The record is from RNAcentral.
GAUGAACGCUGGCGGCGUGCCUAAUACAUGCAAGUCGAGCGAACGGACGAGAAGCUUGCUUCUCUGAUGUUAGCGGCGGACGGGUGAGUAACACGUGGAUAACCUACCUAUAAGACUGGGAUAACUUCGGGAAACCGGAGCUAAUACCGGAUGAUAUUUUGAACCGCAUGGUUCAAAAGUGAAAGACGGUCUUGCUGUCACUUAUAGAUGGAUCCGCGCUGCAUUAGCUAGUUGGUAAGGUAACGGCUUACCAAGGCAACGAUGCAUAGCCGACCUGAGAGGGUGAUCGGCCACACUGGAACUGAGACACGGUCCAGACUCCUACGGGAGGCAGCAGUAGGGAAUCUUCCGCAAUGGGCGAAAGCCUGACGGAGCAACGCCGCGUGAGUGAUGAAGGUCUUCGGAUCGUAAAACUCUGUUAUUAGGGAAGAACAGAUGUGUAAGUAACUGUGCACAUCUUGACGGUACCUAAUCAGAAAGCCACGGCUAACUACGUG